RNAcentral lists this microRNA (22 nucleotides) under Murid gammaherpesvirus 4 (Murine herpesvirus 68). Its description in RNAcentral is "mghv-miR-M1-1-3p". Its record names the gene mghv-miR-M1-1-3p. The record is from miRBase by way of RNAcentral. Lineage: Duplodnaviria; Heunggongvirae; Peploviricota; Herviviricetes; Herpesvirales; Orthoherpesviridae.
UAGAAAUGGCCGUACUUCCUUU